Long non-coding RNA from Mytilus californianus (California mussel), 375 nucleotides. RefSeq lists it as uncharacterized. Lineage: Eukaryota; Metazoa; Mollusca; Bivalvia; Mytilida; Mytilidae. The transcript has 3 exons. The record is from RefSeq and is a predicted model, not a curated record.
GAAAAGAAGAUUGCAUUAUCCUUAACUUCACAUUUUGCUAUAAAGAUGAUUUCCUUUUAUUGAAUAAUUCAAAGAAUGGUGACUUUGUUGAACGCAUGUAUCCCAUUGAACUUGAAAUAAAGGAUUCAACAGAUACAGGUGAAUCCUUGCUGGGUCAUUGAAAAACCUACUGGAAGUUCUUCUGAUACUGGAAAUUGAAAACAAAUGGUCAUUUUGGAAGAAAAUUGAUAGAGGAAAGAUACAGAUAUACAAGAAUUUCAUAUUUGAAAUGCACUUAAUAUUUCUUUUGUAUAUGAUCACCAAAUUUUGGCAGUCAAAUAAGGCCAAUUAAAAUUAAUUGAUAGAUUUUCAUUCCCGCCCGCCCUCUGAAAAUGU